GAUUGACGGCGGCCCCGACUGGCCCCGACCCACCGGCUGGUCUGCCCCGUGCGCGCUCAGUGCAGCCGCCUCCCGGACAACACUGCCACGAUUCUAACUGGAGGCGCGUGUCCUCUCUCCGCCACCAAGGGAGGGGACCAUCAGUGGUGCGACAUGGUGACUGAACGUCAACCUCCUGGAGCUGCGCAUGGCCAUGGAGGCUCAGGUCGCCUAUUUGUGGUCUCCUAUUAUCAUAGGUCAGGUUCUGAUCGGUUUUGGUUUGGUGAUUAUUUGAUUCCUUGAUUGCGUUGUCCACGGCUUCUCACCGCCCCGUUGUUCACCACAGGCUUCUCCAUUUGUGAUUCAGUCGACGGCGAUGACAAUCUCUUCUGGCUAUUUUCUGAUGUGUCUAGGAUUUAAUUUUCAGUUCAUUGGAUUUUGUUUGCAGGCUGCCCUGACGCUGACUAAUUUGACGACAAGAUCUUCCUUUGGUCCUUCCGCUUUGCGUGCUCCACUCCUCCAUGCGAGCUCUCAGACAUUGUUUGGUCAUCGAAGGUUUGUAGCCCUGUUUUGCCUACUGCAUGUUACACCUCCCCGUUUAAGGCAUAUUUUUAUAAGGCGAGCUAAUUGUCCCCUGCUAAUUAUCAGCUAGCUGAGUUCAGACGAGUUUUGUUGAACUGCAAAUGUAGAGAAAUACAAUGAGAUUGUGAGCCAAACUUCUUCUAUUGCUAUUAUGUUACUGUGAACAUGUAUUAGAGCAGACAGACCGAUUCAGUGAAGUUUGAUGGUAUGUACAUUCUAUUUCUUCACAAGUUUACACGUUCAGAUUCAGGUUAUUGUAGAAUUUGCUUAAUAUGGUAAAAAUGAUACGAUAGUAUCAAGGAAUUGAUUGUAUGUUGUUACCAUCCCAUAACAGUCUAGGGUAUAUUAUGGGGAACUAUGUUUAAUUGCAACUUAGCAGCAAUAUAUUUGUAGUUGCUUACUUCACCUGAACUGAAUGACUAUGGAAUUACCUAGCUUCGUAAUGAUUUUGGAGGUAUCUUCGAUCUUCUUAAUACAUUCGAAUUUGUUUGCAUUCCCUUCUAAUUGCAAUUUCUCGGGGCGGCAAUUCAAUCUUAACUUUGUGGCCCUCGCUGCUCGCCACACCUGGGCAAGUAUGGUGACCAGUAGCAGCCAGCCUCGGUGAGGAUGCAUGGGGAGCAGGUCCUUGCCCCAGCAUAUAUAAUUUCUCUGACCUGGUUUUUGACCUGGUGGUGUGAGCAAAGUCAAGCUAGAUAUACCUGUGUCGAUGAGGCUGCCGUCGCUAAACUGAGACAGCCCAUGAAAUUUCUCCGGAGGAUGAAGUUGUUGCCUACAUUCUGAGGUAUAUGAUUUACUUUUCUCCUGAAAAUAUAAUAUUAACUAUGUUCAUUUUACUUCUCUUUCCUGAAUUAUAUCAAGACCAACUUAAGUACAGGGAAUGAUUGUUCGUUAUAAUGGCAGUCAGUCCAAAAGCUAUAUGCAGGAGCUGAAGAGCUAAAGUCGCUUAACGCACUCAGAUUAAAUGGCCAAUGCUUAGUUCUCUGUCAGUUUUCAGGAGACAGAAAAGGCAUAUAGCUGAGAACUGUUCCUUCCAACUGAUUGUUCUAUAUUGUGUGUUAUCCUGUGUAUAUGCACUGCACGAGUGUAUAAAAAGUUGCCUUUUUGAUGUUCCCUGUUUAUAUGCUGAUUACAAUUAUUGUUGAAAAUAGCACGGUGACGCUAGGUUUCAGCUGAAUGAAUCCACACCUUACCGUUAUGAUCUCUCAGAUUCAGGCUAUCUACAGGACCUAAUAAAACCACCUAAUUAUUUUA
This is a non-coding RNA of Lolium perenne, 1812 nucleotides long. Lineage: Eukaryota; Viridiplantae; Streptophyta; Magnoliopsida; Poales; Poaceae. The record is from RefSeq and is a predicted model, not a curated record.